Molecule: ribosomal RNA, 252 nt
Filed under: uncultured bacterium
Lineage: Bacteria
Description: partial 16S ribosomal RNA
Rfam family: Bacterial small subunit ribosomal RNA
Source: RNAcentral
ACGAAGGGGGCUAGCGUUGCUCGGAAUGACUGGGCGUAAAGGGCGCGUAGGCGGUUUGGUUAGUUGGGCGUGAAAUUCCUGGGCUCAACCUGGGGACUGCGCUUAAUACAGCCAGACUAGAGUGUGGAAGAGGGUCGUGGAAUUCCCAGUGUAGAGGUGAAAUUCGUAGAUAUUGGGAAGAACACCGGUGGCGAAGGCGGCGACCUGGUCCAUUACUGACGCUGAGGCGCGAAAGCGUGGGGAGCAAACAGG